RNAcentral lists this ribosomal RNA (253 nucleotides) under uncultured bacterium. Its description in RNAcentral is "partial 16S ribosomal RNA". It matches the Rfam family "Bacterial small subunit ribosomal RNA", at positions 524 to 776 of the family's 1533-position model. The record is from RNAcentral.
UACGUAGGGGGCAAGCGUUGUCCGGAUUUAUUGGGCGUAAAGAGCGUGUAGGCGGCUGGGUAGGUCCGUUGUGAAAACUCGAGGCUCAACCUCGAGACGCCGAUGGAAACCCUCCAGCUAGAGUCCUGGAGAGGAAGGCGGAAUUCUCGGUGUAGAGGUGAAAUUCGUAGAUAUCGAGAGGAACACCGGUGGCGAAGGCGGCCUUCUGGACAGUGACUGACGCUGAGACGCGAAAGCGUGGGGAGCAAACAGG